Molecule: ribosomal RNA, 391 nt
Filed under: uncultured bacterium
Lineage: Bacteria
Description: bacterial SSU rRNA
Rfam family: Bacterial small subunit ribosomal RNA
Source: RNAcentral
AAACUGCCUGAUGGAGGGGGAUAACUACUGGAAACGGUAGCUAAUACCGCAUAACGUCGCAAGACCAAAGAGGGGGGACCUUCGGGCCUCUUGCCAUCGGAUGUGCCCAGAUGGGAUUAGCUAGUAGGUGGGGUAACGGCUCACCUAGGCGACGAUCCCUAGCUGGUCUGAGAGGAUGACCAGCCACACUGGAACUGAGACACGGUCCCAGACUCCUACGGGAGGCAGCAGUGGGGAAUAUUGCACAAUGGGCGCAAGCCUGAUGCAGCCAUGCCGCGUGUAUGAAGAAGGCCUUCGGGUUGUAAAGUACUUUCAGCGGGGAGGAAGGGAGUAAAGUUAAUACCUUUGCUCAUUGACGUUACCCGCAGAAGAAGCACCGGCUAACUCCGUG